UACAGAGGGUGCGAGCGUUGUUCGGAAUUACUGGGCGUAAAGCGCGCGCAGGCGGCCUUUUAAGUCUGACGGUGAAAUGCCGGGGCUCAACCCCGUGCCCGCCGGAGAUACUGGGAGGCUGGAGACGAGUAGAGGCAAGCGGAAUUCCGGGUGUAGCGGUGGAAUGCGUAGAGAUCCGGAAGAACACCGGAGGCGAGGGCGGCUUGCUGGGCUCAUGUCUGACGCUGAGGCGCGAAAGCGUGGGGAGCGAACAGG
RNAcentral lists this ribosomal RNA (255 nucleotides) under uncultured bacterium. RNAcentral's name for it is "partial 16S ribosomal RNA". It matches the Rfam family "Bacterial small subunit ribosomal RNA", at positions 524 to 776 of the family's 1533-position model. The record is from RNAcentral.